AAAGGUGUAGUUAAUAGUUGGGAACACAGUUUGAUGCAGGCAGUACACAACUCCCAGCAUCACAGGGCUGUCCUGGUUUCAGCUGGGAUAGAGUUAAUUGUCUUCCUAGUAGCUGGUAUAACUCUACAGUUAUAGGCUAUAAAUACGGUAUGGAUGCUGUAAUGAUUAAUACCACAGAAUCACAGAAUCGUUGUAAUUAGAAGGUGCCUCCAGAGAUCAUCUAGUCCAAUGCUAAAGGCAGGGUCAGUCGGAGCAGGGCAUGAAGCGCUGAGUCUGCUGUAUCCCUGCCUCCCCACACUUUUUGCGGGGGGCUGUGAGGCAGGGCAACGUACUGGCAAGGCAGGUUGUGCCAGGAGUGGGGCUUUUCUUCUUUUGGAGCUGCCCCUGACUUCUCCAAAGAAGCUACCCAAGACGAUUUUUCUUUUUUGGAGGAAACUCCUCUCCGGGAUCCACCUGUGACUCCUCCCAGUAACUCCCAGAGUCUUGUGACCUCUCUUUUAGGUACCUGAGAUCCCAGGCAGGAGCCACAGACUCCUCCAAGGAAGCUACCCAAGGUGAUUUUUCUCCUUUGGAGGAAACUCUCUGUGAGGGACUGAGAGUUAAUAUCUCAAACAUUGUGGUGGGGCAAGUUCUGCUUAACAACUGACUGCAUAACAAGAAACUCUGCCUAGGAAGGAACCCCAGGUGAAAAGAAGCUGAUCAGCACCCAUUGGCAACAGGAGGGGAGGGGAGGUCAUGCCGGAGGGUGCACAGCUCCCUGGUCUGAUGUGCUGAGCUGGGCAACUUACCGUGCAGGGAAGGGGAAGUUACUCCCCAAAUGACCCCCAAGUCCCAAAGGCUCAGAAACCGCUCAUGACACCUAAUUAGCCUAACAAGUUCGAGUACCCUCCCAAAGGAGGGGCAAGGAUGAUAAAAGGACACAAACUGAAGCCCCACGUGUGCAAGCCCACCGGGACUGGACCCGUUGGCUGACUGAACCAAAGCUGGACCCAGGACCAGUGAAAUCUUUCCCUUCUCUCUCUCUCUUUCCCUUUUCCGUAAUCCCUACACCUCGUCUCGUUGACCAAGUCUGGGACUAGGAGCGGAUCCAGCCACCCCUGGGCUCCUCUCUGAGAAGGAGUCUAGAAAGCGAGGGGGUCUCCUCUGAACCUCGUGACUCGACGGGAGGGCUCGCCUUAUUGUCUUCCCUGAACUGAUUCCCAAAUAAGCCAGGUGUCUAGGAUACGUUUGGUGAUGUAGGGUUAGCAUGUUACACAGUUUACUGACGUAGUUUCACACCGGUUUUGGUGGUGAGCAUGCCAGUUCUUGUUGUGAGCAAAUAAAAAUUGAGUUUUAUGAGUUAUAGGAUCCCUGGUGUUGUUUCGCCUUAAUCCUGACCGGGGAAUCAGCAAACCUGAGCCAUCCUGAGAAAUUGGGACGUGACAGUGUGUCUCCUGCCCAGCCCCCCCUGCGUGUAUGUGGGCGUCUCUACCUGCCCGCCCAUCUUGCCCCUCUGUGGGCGUGUCUCCUCCACCACCCUGCCUGUGUGUCUGUGGGUGUGUCUCCCCCCUGACCACACCCCAUGUGUCUGUGGGUGUGUCCCUCGCCCCCCCCUUGCAUGUCCGUGAGUGUGUCACUGCCUUCCCUUGCCUGUCCGUGGGGGUGCUCCCACUGCCCCGCCCCCAAUAUGUCCAUGGGUGUGGCCCUCCCCCACUGCCCCCCCUGCAUGUCCGUGGGUGUGUCUGCCUGCUCUCCCUAAGUGACCGUGGGUGGGUGGACACAUUUGGCUCCCACACUUGUCUGUUGGUGUGUCUCCCUGCCCCCCCUCCCCCUUCAUGGCCGUGGGUGUGUCUCUCCCCCCCACGGCUCUUGUGGCUGUGGGUGUGUCUGUCAUCCCACACCUCCCCUGUGUGUCCCUGGGUGUGCCCCUCUUCCCCUCCCCUGCCUCCGUGUCAUUGGGUGUUUCUCUCCCUUGACCCCCCUUUGCGUCGGUAGCUGUUGCGGUGGAUCCGUAAGCGCAGAUUCUGAUUGUGUACGACCUCGUCCCGCAGCCUCCCGGGGUUCUCUCCCUGCAGCAGUGCUGUAAGGAAGGGAGGACACGUUUUCCAACCCCGGCAAGAGUGUUUACUUGUGUGCUAAGCAGGUGUUCAAAAUGGUAUCAAUUAGCCUAAAUGCUGAUUUUAAGUGUUCAAAUGGCUCUUAACUUUUAAAGGAGGGUGGUGUAUUUCGAGCUGACCUGUUUACCUGGAAUCCUCCUUUAGCUCAGCGACUCUCCUUGUGCACCCCCAGCCUCCGCUGGCAGGGCGGUGUGAGAAGCUGGAAGGUCCUUGACUUAGUAUAAACCCUGCUUAGCAACCACUUAAAGCGUCGGUGUGUUGUCAACGUUUAUCUCGUCCUAAAUCCAAAAUGGCCCUGUACAGCUACUCGGAAGAAAAUUAACUUUAUUCCAGCCAAAAACCAGGACAACCCCAACCCCCCUGAUUCUGGGUCUGCAACAGGGGAAAAAAACAAAGGAAUUUGGGACUCCUGGGAAAGCCAAAUCCGCCUGGAUCUGUGCAGCUGGAAAGGAAAAAAUCCCACCCCCGUUUUUCACGCAGCCAAACCACAACCAAAAGAUCACCCCUUUUUAUGUUGUGGAAAAGCACUGAAACACACCCAAACUGAGUAUUUUGAAAAAGCAAAAAACUCGCCCAGUUUGGGGAAGAUUGGGGGCGAAGCACAGGCAGUUUGAGGGGCAUUGCUGGGGGUCCUCCCAGUGUGGAUGAUCUGGUGUGGAUUCUCUGUUGCGGUUAUCCCAGGUGAGUUACCUGCUGUGGAUCAUCCCGGGUGGACUCCCUGGGCAUCUGUUGACUGGCUGCUGUCACUCCCACAACCCUGAUGCCACGUGCAGACGGAUACCGCAGUCCCUGGGGCUUGGUCCAGGGCAA
Long non-coding RNA from Aquila chrysaetos chrysaetos, 2906 nucleotides. RefSeq lists it as uncharacterized. The transcript is spliced from 2 exons. NCBI's taxonomy places the organism in Eukaryota, Metazoa, Chordata, Aves, Accipitriformes, Accipitridae. The record is from RefSeq and is a predicted model, not a curated record.